This is a non-coding RNA of Tinamus guttatus (white-throated tinamou), 211 nucleotides long. The record is from Rfam. NCBI's taxonomy places the organism in Eukaryota, Metazoa, Chordata, Aves, Tinamiformes, Tinamidae.
GCUUAAUGAUCUAUCUGAUGAAGAUUUGAUCUGCAUCACCUUUGUUUAAAAAAAAAAAAAAAUUCAACCAAUAUUUCAUGAGAGAGAAAAAACUACUCAGUUGCUUUUUGUGGAACACAAGGUUGUGUGUUCAAAUACUGUACAUGCAUCUAGGGCUGACUUGUGCUUGAUGGAGAAGAGAGGAAAACACCACCACCACCAAAAAAACAAG